This 919-nucleotide ribosomal RNA is filed under the name uncultured bacterium. Its description in RNAcentral is "bacterial SSU rRNA". It matches the Rfam family "Bacterial small subunit ribosomal RNA", at positions 33 to 922 of the family's 1533-position model. The record is from RNAcentral.
ACGCUGGCGGCGUGCUUAACACAUGCAAGUCGAACGAAGAGCGAUGGAAGCUUGCUUCUAUCAAUCUUAGUGGCGAACGGGUGAGUAACGCGUAAUCAACCUGCCCUUCAGAGGGGGACAACAGUUGGAAACGACUGCUAAUACCGCAUACGAUCCAACCUCGGCAUCGAGGAUGGAUAAAAGGUGGCCUCUAUUUAUAAGCUAUCACUGAAGGAGGGGAUUGCGUCUGAUUAGCUAGUUGGAGGGGUAACGGCCCCCAAGGCGAUGAUCAGUAGCCGGUCUGAGAGGAUGAACGGCCACAUUGGGACUGAGACACGGCCCAGACUCCUACGGGAGGCAGCAGUGGGGAAUCUUCCGCAAUGGACGAAAGUCUGACGGAGCAACGCCGCGUGAGUGAUGACGGCCUUCGGGUUGUAAAGCUCUGUUAAUCGGGACGAAAGGCCUUCUUGCGAAUAGUUAGAAGGAUUGACGGUACCGGAAUAGAAAGCCACGGCUAACUACGUGCCAGCAGCCGCGGUAAUACGUAGGUGGCAAGCGUUGUCCGGAAUUAUUGGGCGUAAAGCGCGCGCAGGCGGAUUGGUCAGUCUGUCUUAAAAGUUCGGGGCUUAACCCCGUGAUGGGAUGGAAACUGCCAAUCUAGAGUAUCGGAGAGGAAAGUGGAAUACCUAGUGUAGCGGUGAAAUGCGUAGAUAUUAGGAAGAACACCAGUGGCGAAGGCGACUUUCUGGACGAAAACUGACGCUGAGGCGCGAAAGCCAGGGGAGCGAACGGGAUUAGAUAACCCGGUAGUCCUGGCCGUAAACGAUGGGUACUAGGUGUAGGAGGUAUCGACCCCUUCUGUGCCGGAGUUAACGCAAUAAGUACCCCGCCUGGGGAGUACGACCGCAAGGUUGAAACUCAAAGGAAUUGACGGGGGCCC